RNAcentral lists this ribosomal RNA (253 nucleotides) under uncultured bacterium. Its description in RNAcentral is "partial 16S ribosomal RNA". It matches the Rfam family "Bacterial small subunit ribosomal RNA", at positions 524 to 776 of the family's 1533-position model. The record is from RNAcentral.
GACGAACCGUGCAAACGUUAUUCGGAAUCACUGGGCUUAAAGGGCGCGUAGGCGGGCAGGCAAGUCAGGGGUGAAAGCCCACGGCUCAACCGUGGAAGUGCCUUUGAUACUGCCUUUCUCGAGGGAGGUAGGGGCGUGCGGAACUUCCGGUGGAGCGGUGAAAUGCGUAGAUAUCGGAAGGAACACCGGUGGCGAAAGCGGCGCGCUGGACCUCUUCUGACGCUGAGGCGCGAAAGCCAGGGGAGCAAACGGG